GUAAUCUCGGAGGGUAGUAUUUUCUGGGGGAUACGCGCAUUGCUCAUUCAGGCUGAGUGUACAAUGCGUAGGGUAGGUAUCAACAUACUUUUGUGUUGAUAGACGGGAUACUGAUGCUGUUACUAGCAUAUAAAUAGGAAACCCAACA
Molecule: non-coding RNA, 148 nt
Organism: Vibrio caribbeanicus ATCC BAA-2122
Lineage: Bacteria; Pseudomonadati; Pseudomonadota; Gammaproteobacteria; Vibrionales; Vibrionaceae
Source: Rfam